Passer domesticus (house sparrow) is the source of this 128-nucleotide long non-coding RNA. RefSeq lists it as uncharacterized. The record is from RefSeq and is a predicted model, not a curated record. Lineage: Eukaryota; Metazoa; Chordata; Aves; Passeriformes; Passeridae. The transcript has 3 exons.
AGCCUUCAUCACAGUAAUUGCUGUGGGCAGGAUUAUUAGCCACUUACCCUCUUCCUACAGCUGGACCAAAGUCACACAAUAUGGAAUGGGUUAGGGAAGGAACAAUGGAAUUUAAGAUGAAGAUUUUA